Long non-coding RNA from Trichechus manatus latirostris (Florida manatee), 201 nucleotides. RefSeq lists it as uncharacterized. The transcript is spliced from 3 exons. NCBI's taxonomy places the organism in Eukaryota, Metazoa, Chordata, Mammalia, Sirenia, Trichechidae. The record is from RefSeq and is a predicted model, not a curated record.
UCCUGGUACUUACCGCUCGGCUGAUUCAGGCCAGUGGAUGGCCAGACUAAAGCUCAUUCAUCAAGGAUCACCAGAAGACCCCUCUCCACCCCAGAAUUGUGUCCAUAUUCCUGACUGACACAAAGGAACAUCCCAACUUCAUACUACCAUCACCAAUGACUAUUUGUCAAAAUAAAUAUCAUUAUGUUGAAAUGGAAGAAC